GGCUGUUUGUUUUUGUUGGGUUUGUCAAUGUUGCCUUUGUUCGGGAGAUUGUGUCAUCGCCUAGAUGCCGGGAACAAAGUGCGACCCUGUGUGAUUAAACAAAAACAAACAGCCCUGUGUGUCAUUAGAUGGACCUGGACACUCGGUGUGCAGCCGUAGAAGGGCCAGGUGUCAGGAGGGAGACAGUGCCUGACCCCAGCCAGCGAGCCUGCUGGGAAAAGUGAAUUGGUUCUGAACAGGUUCACAACACUCCUGAAAUCCAUACACCCCAGUCAAGAGCCUCUGAUUACAGAAUGGAAUGUGAAGGGGAAAAGCAUCAUUGAUUGAGCCUUAUACUUCCUGUCAUCUGAUCCUUACAGCAGCCCUGAGAGAGGUGUGUUCUGACUCAAGUUUUCUAAUGAGGAACUUCAGGCUCAGAGAGGUAGGAUGAGCUGUCCAAAGUCAACCAGGUCCAGCUCAGGGCCCCCCGACACUCCCUCCACACAGAGGUGCCUCCUUCGGGGAGUCAAACCACGGAACAAGGUGUUCAGUUGACCUUUGGCCCCAGA
Manis javanica (Malayan pangolin) is the source of this 548-nucleotide long non-coding RNA. RefSeq lists it as uncharacterized. NCBI's taxonomy places the organism in Eukaryota, Metazoa, Chordata, Mammalia, Pholidota, Manidae. The record is from RefSeq and is a predicted model, not a curated record.